Molecule: ribosomal RNA, 442 nt
Filed under: uncultured Corynebacterium sp.
Lineage: Bacteria; Bacillati; Actinomycetota; Actinomycetes; Mycobacteriales; Corynebacteriaceae
Description: bacterial SSU rRNA
Rfam family: Bacterial small subunit ribosomal RNA
Source: RNAcentral
ACGGAAGGCAGCAGUGGGGAAUAUUGCACAAUGGGCGAAAGCCUGAUGCAGCGACGCCGCGUGGGGGAUGAAGGCCUUCGGGUUGUAAACUCCUUUCGCUAGGGACGAAGAUGUAUUUUGACGGUACCUGGAGAAGAAGCACCGGCUAACUACGUGCCAGCAGCCGCGGUAAUACGUAGGGUGCGAGCGUUGUCCGGAAUUACUGGGCGUAAAGAGCUCGUAGGUGGUUUGUCGCGUCGUCUGUGAAAUCCCGGGGCUUAACUUCGGGCGUGCAGGCGAUACGGGCAUAACUUGAGUGCUGUAGGGGAGACUGGAAUUCCUGGUGUAGCGGUGAAAUGCGCAGAUAUCAGGAGGAACACCAAUGGCGAAGGCAGGUCUCUGGGCAGUAACUGACGCUGAGGAGCGAAAGCAUGGGUAGCGAACAGGAUUAGAUACCCUGGUA